This 436-nucleotide ribosomal RNA is filed under the name uncultured Oscillibacter sp. Its description in RNAcentral is "bacterial SSU rRNA". It matches the Rfam family "Bacterial small subunit ribosomal RNA", at positions 341 to 792 of the family's 1533-position model. The record is from RNAcentral. Lineage: Bacteria; Bacillati; Bacillota; Clostridia; Eubacteriales; Oscillospiraceae.
ACGGAAGGCAGCAGUGGGGAAUAUUGGGCAAUGGGCGCAAGCCUGACCCAGCAACGCCGCGUGAAGGAAGAAGGCUUUCGGGUUGUAAACUUCUUUUAAGGGGGAAGAGUAGAAGACGGUACCCCUCGAAUAAGCCACGGCUAACUACGUGCCAGCAGCCGCGGUAAUACGUAGGUGGCAAGCGUUGUCCGGAUUUACUGGGUGUAAAGGGCGUGUAGCCGGGGAGGCAAGUCAGAUGUGAAAUCUAUGGGCUCAACCCAUAAACUGCAUUUGAAACUGUAUCUCUUGAGUGCUGGAGGGGCAAUCGGAAUUCCUUGUGUAGCGGUGAAAUGCGUAGAUAUAAGGAGGAACACCAGUGGCGAAGGCGGAUUGCUGGACAGUAACUGACGGUGAGGCGCGAAAGUGUGGGGAGCAAACAGGAUUAGAUACCCUGGUA